CAGAAGAGGAACCAGAGGCAUGUACAAGUUCAGUGACAUGCCCGCACAGCUAGUAAGUGAGGUGGAUUUGAACCCAGAUCUUCAUGAUUUUAAGCCCUGCCUUCUCUUCCCUGUGCUGCCCACUUGUCCUGCAGAAGACUAGUCAUCACUUAAAUAUUGUUUCUAGGCCAAAGCAACACACCGAGUCUGCUGAGAAAUAGAAGCGCUGCAGCUGCAUUAGUGCACAAAGUAGCCGUACCAAGAUGGCUGCUCUUCCGAAGUUAAAGUUAGGUGGCUCCUUGACACCACAAGUAGGAAAAGACUAUGCUCUUUCCAAACCUGAAUUUCUGACCCGAAUUGAACAAGGGGAAGAACCAUAUAUCCAGAAUCAUUUGGACUCAGAAGAGACAGAAAUAGCAGAAAAUCUUGACCUUGGUGAGUCUUACUGAACUUUCAAGGCCAAAGCUUCAUUUAAUGAACUGAAAUUCUCUAGGUUUGGGGGCUGAUUUUUUCCUUCUCUUUGGGAGCUCCUUAUCACUGAUGUGCUGACUUAAUAAUCCCUAAUAGCUUCUCAGCUAAGCCAGUUUCAGAUUUUUUCUUUCCAAUUUCCUGCUCUCCAUUGAGAGAUCUGUAAUGGAAUGGUCACUAGCUGCCAGAAACAUGGAAUAUGAUCUCCCUUCCCAAGGACAGGACCUCCACUUUCUACUAAUACUGUACAACCGUGUGCUAAGCAAGAAGAUCAAGGGCCCAGGGAUCAGAACAACAUAGAGGAAAGCGUCCCUAGUGUAGAUCUGAACAGAGGUUAGAAACACAAUCUGAGCUCUCUUGGUCUGAAGGGGAAAACUGGGUUUGCUAAGACUACCCUGUGGAUGGCUUCUGUUAACAGGGCUCUGACAUCUCAGGAUUGAGAGCCAGUACUUGCUUGGUUUUUUGAGAGCUGAUUUUUCAUCUCUUCCCUGGGGACCCCCAGGAGAUGCUUUCCUCCCUACAUGGGGAACUGCUAUAUAUGCCCUCUCCCAGUAUGAGCUCCUAGAUCAGGAACUCUUCCAUUUUUAUUACAUCUCCAGCAUUUAGCAGUGCCUGGCACACAAUAAGCAAUUAAUAAAUACUUCUAAAAAAAGCUUCACUAAAUGCAUUCAUCAUAGAGCAAGUGACCUAUUACAGACUCAAGUUUUGAGAGUUUUUGAAUCUUAGCUCUGAUGCAGUUUCAUUUUAUGACAAGUCAGUUCAAAACAUUAAAUCCAGUUUCCUUUUCUGUAAAUUGGGUGUAAUAAUGCAUGCACUACCUACUUCAUUGGGUUGUUGUAAAGAAAGUCUUGAUCUACUUUGAAGUAUUAUCGAAUGUGGGUGGCUGCUAUUCUUUCUCUCCAGCUGGCUACACGUGGGGCAAGGACAGAGGAACUUGGGAACAGUAUUUUUCUGGUUGGCUACUUAAGUGUCCCCUCAGGACGACUUGACCAUCCUAUAAAAGAGGCUUGGGGAAGGACACACUUAUUUUUCCCCAGUUUUUAAGUAUUGGUAACAGC
RNAcentral lists this long non-coding RNA (1505 nucleotides) under Sarcophilus harrisii (Tasmanian devil). Its description in RNAcentral is "lncRNA (ENSSHAG00000025637.1)". The record is from RNAcentral. Lineage: Eukaryota; Metazoa; Chordata; Mammalia; Dasyuromorphia; Dasyuridae.